UUUGCAUUACAAUGCUUGGAUAAUUUCAUUGGAUGUUUUGAUCAGAUCCAAAAUAUAUAAAUAUAUACACUGUUGAUCGUUUGCUUUAUUCGAUUCCAACUUUCCUGAUCUUGGUAAUUAAGAUUCGAAGAAUUUCAAGAUGCUGCGUUUAAUUUUGGUAACCAUGUUGGUUGCCAUUACCGCUGCCCAGCGGGAAUUGCCCCCAAUUGCACCAACGUGCAGUUCUGUGGAGCCUCCUAUAGAUACCAAUGGAUUAAACUAUGUUGAAAGCACGAAAUCAGCAGCGCCGACAUUGACAGAUGCGAUGGCUCAACGGCUUUUUACAGGUUCUUCCAGUGAACGUGGAAAAAGAGCUGCAAGAACUUCAACUGAAUUGGCCCGGACCGAAUUGAAAGAUGCCACUGGAAGUAUAAUACUUUCUCAACCCCGAUUCACUGUUAAUCGUGCCACUGAACCACGAUGUCUUUGUCCUCACCGAAAUGAAUUGUUGACAAGCUUCAAAUACAAUGGUGGAUAUUGCCAUGUUCUAUUCCCAGAGUUUCAGGGCAAAUAUUACACCCGGUGUCUGUACAGGAAUUGCUUAACUGGAUGUGUGUCAACAACUAAUGGUCGCCGCAACCUGUGUAGACCCAAAAAAAGCUAUUCGACUGUCUCCGUUUGGUCUAUCUGUCUUACACCAAUAUUCCAUAUCAAGAAAAUUACACUUCGAGUUCCCACAGGUGGAUGUGAAUGUAAAUCUUAUCCACCAAUAUGCCAGUUUCUUAGUCCAUUUACUGUAAGAGUGUAAAAGGUUAAGAGACCACUUUUAACCAUACAAUCGGCAAAAAUAUUCUGACAUUUCGACAUUUUUUAAAAUUUGCUCACAAUGUUUAAUAUAAAGAAAAGCACGAUCAAUAUCAUUGUUAAAUUCAUACCGUACAUUUAAUCAAUUCUUUUCUGUAUACAUGGACAAAUAACUUACAUUCAUAUUUUACUGAUGUGCUAUGUUUUGUUUAAUAUAUUGUCAUUGCUUUAGGUAUAUUUUUGAUCACUUAGUGAAAUAUAUUAUGAAAUGUCGAUAAA
Long non-coding RNA from Patella vulgata (common limpet), 1062 nucleotides. RefSeq lists it as uncharacterized. The transcript is spliced from 5 exons. Lineage: Eukaryota; Metazoa; Mollusca; Gastropoda; Patellidae. The record is from RefSeq and is a predicted model, not a curated record.